This 354-nucleotide ribosomal RNA is filed under the name Triticum aestivum (bread wheat). RNAcentral's name for it is "partial small subunit ribosomal RNA". The record is from RNAcentral. Lineage: Eukaryota; Viridiplantae; Streptophyta; Magnoliopsida; Poales; Poaceae.
AUGGACAACCAAAAGUUUGAACUGGUGGAAAGGGCUACGCAAUCGACAUACACACUUCAACACCCCCUUUCACGUGUGAUGCGGAAAGUCAACACGUGGAUAGACUCAGAGGUAUGGCUCAAGAGGCCAAUAAGUGGACACAAAGGAGGGAACAAUAAUUUUUGGGAAAACUUUGUUUUUGCCACUCUAGUUUUUGCCCACUUUGCUUAUGCCACUCUAGAAUUUGACAUUUCACUUUUGCCACUCUUAUCUUUUGACAAUAUAUCACUUUUGCCAUUCAGUGGCAAAAGCAAAAAUUUCAGAGUGGCAAUUGUGAUACAUUGUCCAAAGCUAAGAGCGGCAAAAGUGAAAUGA